CUUAGCGGCGGACGGGUGAGUAACGCGUGGGUAACCUGCCUUACACUGGGGGAUAACAGUUAGAAAUGACUGCUAAUACCGCAUAAGCGCACAGGGCCGCAUGGUCUGGUGUGAAAAACUCCGGUGGUGUAAGAUGGACCCGCGUCUGAUUAGGCAGUUGGUGGGGUAACGGCCCACCAAGCCGACGAUCAGUAGCCGACCUGAGAGGGUGACCGGCCACAUUGGGACUGAGACACGGCCCAA
This 243-nucleotide ribosomal RNA is filed under the name uncultured bacterium. RNAcentral's name for it is "partial 16S ribosomal RNA". It matches the Rfam family "Bacterial small subunit ribosomal RNA", at positions 91 to 334 of the family's 1533-position model. The record is from RNAcentral.